Molecule: long non-coding RNA, 8744 nt
Organism: Apus apus (common swift)
Lineage: Eukaryota; Metazoa; Chordata; Aves; Apodiformes; Apodidae
Exons: 3
Source: RefSeq, a predicted model, not a curated record
UAUAUGUAUUUUAUAAUGCAUUGCUACCAAUGGUUGCAAUAGCAAACUUUAACCUUUCUCACGUUUACAUCUCGUGCUGGUUUUAAGGUGGUUGUCUUUAUUUUUGCAGGGAGGAGGGAGAAGGGUUGAGUGGAGAACUGGGGGGUGUCCUUUUUGGGUUUUUUUUUGCCUGGGAUUGGGUUCUUCCAACCUCUUGAGUUUCCUCCCCCCUCAGCUUCGCCGUGCUUUGAACUGCUGACAUUGAGACACUGUGCAGCCAGGCACGACAGCUGGCCCUGCAAGCAUCUAAUACCAACACAUGCUGGUUUAGCCCAUUUCCAGAGCAAGGAAGAUAAUGAAAGAUUCAAAAAAAUAAUAUUUGUUUUGGCGGAGCUACGUUUAUAAUGAAAUAGAUGCCCUUGACCAUGGAAGAAACUGAAUUUUGCAGCGGGUUAUUCUUCCCUCCCUCCUCCCUUUCCCCCCCACCCCCUCUAAGGCCAACAGAAAUAUUUUUGAAGGACUAUGUUAUAUUUCCUGCUACAGCAGCAUUGCAGCUACACUGGCUGUACUGUUUUACACCAGAAUGAAAAAUGCAGAGUACAUCCUAUGUAUCAAUACCAAAUGGAAAAGAGCCCCAGGGCCUGAGAAUCGUUACAGAUCACUUUCAUGAGCUCAUCCUGGAAGCAUCUGAAAACAGAAAACCAAUUCAUUGUAGGGACAUUUUUAGAUCUGUGCCCAAAUUUUCUUCCCUCAUGCUGCCCGAUUUGUUUUGAAAUAGAGGAAAUUAGUCAUCUGAUCAGGGCAAGAAAGAUUUGGCCCAUAUAGUUCCCACUUAAUUUCUCUAAGCAGUUCUCAAGCUUUGUCAGUGGUACUUGAUGUGGUGUAGCAGCUGAGUAAGAAGCAUUGACACAGUUGAUAGGACAGUGCUAUCACCCUACAAACAAUACUAAAUUAUUGACUAGGAGCACUAAUUUCAAACUGCUGUUUCUGGUAACAUCACAGAUCAUUAUUCCUUGUAGAAAUCUCACAGCUUGUUACAUUCAAUUAUUUUUCCCAAUGUUUUACCAGAUUUCAAAAUUGUCAUCUUUAUGGUAAGUAUUGCACCCAGGUCAAAAGAGAUAGACUUGGUAUUAAAAUGUUUAUUUAUGGUGAAAGGUGGUGCUGAAGACCUGCUUCAUGCAAGGAAAGAAUAAGAAAUACAGAAGGAUUGCUUAAAAACUUAAAGCACAGUAAUCCAAGGGGAGUACUGUAAGAUUUAUGUGCUAUUUCAAGAGUAAUUUCUCAGUAAGAAUCUUACAGGAAAGUGAAAAUCCUCCAAGAAUUGCAUUUACAGAUUUAAUUGUAAUUCCUUUUAUAUUCUUACAGGAAUUGAAUAGAAACAUUGUUCAAAGGCCUCUCUGUAAAGCUGCCCUGCCCGGUGGAGCAGCCGGGCACUCCGCACUGCCACGGCCGGCUGGAAAACCAAUGGAAAAUGGGCCUGGCACUGUCCUUGCUGGGCAGGAGCCCCAGUGGGGCAUUCCAGGAACACCCCUGGUGCAAAUACAGCUCAGCAGAGGCCAUGGGCACUGGGGGCUGGUUUUGUUUCACAUUGCUUGUGUGGGGGAUGAGUAAUGAAUAAAUAAUCCUUGGAAAAGGAGUGAGUGGGGUUCCCAGCCUUUCCAUCUUCCCCACCUCCCUUCCUCUCCCUUCCCUCUCAUUUGCCCCAUUCCCCCCCCCUUUCUUCCUUUUCCCCCUCUUUAUUCCCUUGCCCCCCUUUUCCUCCAUUUUCUGCUUCUUUUCCUCCUUUUUCCCCCAUUUUCCCUUCUUUUUUGCCCCUUUUUUCCUUUUUUAUUUUUUCCCUUUUUUCCCCUCAUUUUCCUUUUCAUCUUCUCUUCCUCUAGCUCCUUUGUUUCUUCUCUUCAUUUUUUUUGUUUUUUCUUCUUUUUUUCCCUUUUCCAGUUUUUCUCUUUUCCUUCUCCAGAAGCCCUACCCCAGCAUAACCUUUAAUAUCUCCCUGUCCUUAACUCUGGGAUUUCCAGGUGAUUGGCUUUUAAUAUCACUGACUUUUGUUGCGCGCAUUUUUAGAGAGGAGCAAAUCCAGUAUUUCUUACCACCCCCCGUAUUCAAAACCCCUUUUUUUCCCCAUUAUAGGAGGGAAGGUGAGCAGGGGCUCCCUUAUCCCCACUGCUGCAGCCACCUCCUUUUCACUUCUUCCCAGUCCUGGGGGGUGCAGUGAUGGAGACCCUGAUCCAGACCAGCCCCUGGCCUGUGUGAGGUAACGUGUGGGUGGCAGCUGGCAGCAGGGCUGGGGGCUGGAGGAGCCUUCCUGGAGCCAGAGGAGCCUUCCUGGAGCCAGAGGAUCCUGCCUGGAGCCCGUGGCAGCAGCAGAUGAUGGGUCUGGGCUCCAUCAGCCACCGCCGGCAGGGCGGGAUGCAGUAGCUGGACCCCAAGGUGACAAUUGACAUGAGCUCGGGGCACUGGCAGCACCUUGGGUUGAUGAAAGGAUGUCGUUAACGAGCCUUCAACGUUUCUCAUUAGUGGCUGGCAUGGGUGGGUGGGUUCUUUUCACUGAAAAAAGCCAGAAGACAGAAAGUCCACCUGGGCAGUAAUUAAGAUCGAUCCCAUACAGUACAUUAUCAAUUUUUUAAAACCUCUUUAAGUGCUUUAUUUAGUUAUUUUAAACAGGGCUUUUUAUUUGUUGCAGUGAGUAGUCCUUGAGCAUGGCAGAGAACUGAGGAGCCUGGAGGACUCUUCCUGGGCUCUCCUCCUUGUCCAAUCUUCAUCUAACCAGCAGAAAUGGGGGCUCUAGUCCAUCACCUCCACCAUGGGUGCUACGAAGAGCCACAGCAGGACGUGGAGCCCAUUGAUCUGGACCCAUGCUGCCAUCACCCAGGGUCUGUUUUCUGAGGUGGCAUCGCUCUUCUUUGGCUGAAAUUAUUGCUGCAAACCGCAUGAAGGUACCAAGGAGGUAAAAAGCAGAGCCUUUGCUCACUAAUUUGGUGUGGGCUUAACCAGCACGGAGGCCAGAGAGAGGGGCUCUGCCCAGCCAGGCCCCAGAGAGGCCUCAAGGGUGGGGGUCAACCCAAGGUAGGCACCAGCCGGGGUUAGGCAGGCUGGAAGAAGUGGUGUUUAAUUAAAAUAACCCUCAGCAUGACCCCAAGUGCAGAGCUGGUGGGAGUUAACUGGGAAAAACAGCUGCAACCCUUUUAUCUAAGGAAGAGAACCUUCCGAUGACAUCAUUUUUACUUCCCUGUGAACACUGAGGUGAUGAAGUUCCAUGUAGAAAACAUGGCUCAGUUCACAGUGGGCCAUCAGAGUGGUCUGGGUCUGAGCUUGCCUGAGCAACACAGCUCAGCUCCCUCUUAAAACCAUGGCCAGAAUAGGCAGGACACCAGGAGUAGGAAUCCCAAGUGUUUUUUGAUCCAGACUUGACUUAAAUCUUUAAAACUCUGUCAAUCACAAGGAAAAAAUAAUCGUAUUUCUGUUGGUGCAUGCUGUGAUGUUUUGAAAAAUUUUGAAACUGUACGUGGUUCAGUGGUGGAUUUGGCAGUGGUGGGUCAAUGUUGGACUCAAAGGUCUUUCCAGCCAAAAUGAUUCUGUGAUUAACCCCCUGAUAACACCAGGGGAGCAGCUGGUGUGGGUACAGACCUCACUGUGGGAGUGGUGAAAGGGAAGUGUCCACUCCUGUGUCAGAGGCUGAGAAACUUCCUGUGCAACCACCAAGUUCUGUGGAGAGCUGUAUUUAUUGUGGCCAGUGGGAAGGAAAAGCAAAGAUGGAAAUGAAACUGGUGUGUUGUUUUUGAAAAGUUUGCCAGAGAUUAUUGUGGAAAUGCAGUUGAGUGCAAGAAGGUGGCACUGGAGUGAAGGUUGAACCUCCCGGUAUCACUUGAACUGGAGGUCACUGGAGGUCUCCUCUGUGGCUGCAGAAGCAACAGUGGGAGUCUGCAAACUCAAGCGAUGUUUGUAAAUUCCAGCUACUGCUUUACAGCACGUUUGUCCUCUAAAAAAGAGCAGACUAAACCCAACCUGAGUUAUUGAAGAAAUCACUGUUUGAGAACAAGCAGAGCGUUAAUUGACCGGUUUCUUGUCCCCAGCUCAGUAAUCAGUCUUCCUGUACUGCAGCUCCUGGUGACCAGCAAACUGUCUCCAACCUUCUGGUUGUCAAGAAAAUUGUGACAAGGCGAAUGUCAGAUCAUGUGGAGCCUUCUGAGUUUUUUGACCCCUUCAAUCUGUUUUCCAACCUGGGUAGGGGGAAGAAGCUGUGUUGGACUAAUUGGUUGUCUCUCUUCAGGCAGUGGAUAAAGUCCAGGUACAUAAUCUGGCUGUUUUAGAUGAGCAGCAUCCUGUCUUUCACAGUCUUGUGUCCUUAUGUCAGCCACUGCAGGAUUGUGCUGGAAAAGUUCCUUUUGCCAAAGCUGGAGCAGAAGAUGUUGAGGUCCUACAGCGGUUUAUCUGCUGGCGUUCCUCUGCAGCAGGUUCCAGCGGUGGCAGCAGCACGUGGGUGACUCUUGGAAAAAGAAAAAGAAGUCAGAUUCAUCUUCACCAAAACCUAAAAUUCUGCAGCUGCUGGGAGGAUAUUAUAGCUUGAAAAUGUUGCACUUCCAGGUUUUGUUUCUACCCCACAGUUUAAGGUGGAAUACUCUGCGUGGGAAAGGAGCUGCACAGCGGUUGGUCUUGAUUUCAUGGACUCCAUUGAAGUGGUGAACGUCUUCAUGGACUCCGUGUAAGUUAUUUACCCAUCACUGGAGGUCCCGAGGCACCAGCAACAUGGCAGGACUCCUCUGGAGCUGGAGACUUCCAUCUUGAUGUCAGCUGCUUGAUGACAACGAGGAGAACGUGCCACAAAGUGCUGCUCCAGAUGUCCAGGGCAACCUGCUCAUCACAGGAGGAGAAACACACAAGUGAGACUUACCCCAGUGCUGCUUCCAGUACCAGAGCUCAGCCAAGCGCCACUCCCAGGGCCCAGGAAACUCCUCCCAAGGCAAGAGCAGAUCUGGCAGGUCAAGGAAUUCUCCUUUUGUUAAAAGAAAUUUGCAGAUGCAGGAUUCAUUUCCCUGCCUGGGAUCUGGCUGUGCAGGCUUUCCCUGGCCUGGUGGGUGCAGGUGAUGGAAUAGCUACUGGCUUGGGACAGGUCUUGGCACUGGGUGAGGGUUAUUUUCUGGCUGGCUCUGAGUGGGGCAGCUCUGCAGGUGCCUUUAUCCUGGGUUUGUGAAGGCUGUGAUUUGAUUAAACUGGGGGGGGUUGGAUGCUUCAAAAUCAGUAUGGUUUGAUGUUUAAGGGAUUGAAGUGAAACAUUUGAGAGCUGCUGUAGCUGAUUGCUGCACUGGUUGUACUGGUUCUUUGCAAAUCAGCCCAGGCACAUCCGUGCAGAGGUCCUGCACUGGGAGCAUUGCCUUUCAAAUCCCAAAGUACCGUGAUGAAGGUGUAUCUGUAACAGGUAUGAGGGUGUCACUGAAGGGCAGGCACUAGACAAAAUUGUGGCACUUUUUCACAGCCAGUAUUUUUUCCCCACCCAGCGCAAGGAAUCGACUGGAUCUGUCACAGAUGUGUUAGAUGUGUACAACCUUACAUAGCCACUCCUAAAAGUAUUUAGCAGUACAACAUAUUGACCAUGUUCUGAAGUCCUUACUCAGACAAAACCUGCCCAGAGGUCAGUGUGAACCUCGACAAAUCAAUUUAUUCCAAACCAGCUGCUGUUUCUGUGUGGUUUUGCAGCACAUACCUGUGAAAAGAAUGCAAAAUUCAGAUAAAAAUCGGGCCAGGACACGGGGGGAGAUGGAGAAUGUUGGUCCAUGUGAAUGAAGGGUGGUGCAGGGAUGGAAAUGUUAAUUUUUGGGUGGGUUGUGGGAGGAGGGGCUGAGGGGUCUUUGCCCAGAGGAGGUGACAGUGUGCAGCUCAGCCCCCGCUGCCUGACAGAGCCGCCUGCACUAGGCGGGCACUUACCUCAAAUCACAGGUUAUGAAAACUGACAUUUCCGUUCAAAUUACUCCAGCAGGUAACUGUGCCCCUCUGCAGCUUCUUCUGUAAGUGACACGGUGACAGCGGCCCAGGAAUUUAACUUGCUGUUGUCUCGUUUCAAGUGGAGUUACGAGGUGGGUGACAUGCGUUAGGGGGAUGGCUCCUGCUUUGUGUGUCUGGGCGAUUCAUCACAGGUGGAGCACAGAGCCCAGGAAGUUUUGUCAGCUCAGGGUAGCUGUCCCUGCUGUCAGCAGCCUCCUCUGACUCCUCCUCCUUUCCCACUGUCUGAGCCAAAAGCCACCCCUCCACUGAAGUUUUUCCUGGCACCUCCUGGCUCCCUGAGAUCUUUUAAGUCCCUCUCUUUAAUUAUGAUGGGCAUACGUGUACCUGGUGGUCACACUGCUGGGCUCCUUCCUCUCCUCAAGGAUGUCUCUUGGAUUUUUAAUUUUUUUUUUUUAUGUUUUUUCUGUUCAUGAAGUGCUCCAGCAGAUUUUGUGAUUCGAGGUGUUAGCCACAGAGAGGCUGAAACUGCAGAGGAUUUCUGCUGAGCUUUGUUUCUGUGCAACAUUGUCAACCAGUAAACGCCUUUGGUUUGUGGUGCUCUGCAAACAGGUAUCACCAAAUUCCAGUGUUUGGUGCUGGAGCCAAAGCAUCUGAGGGAGAGUGACCUGCCUGUGCCUUAGAGGCUCCUGGAGAAAUCACUGAUCUGCAGCCACUGCUGAGGAGCAAGGCAGCAAAGCUUGAGGUUGGUCUGUUGUAGGCCGUGGUGGCACCUUUCAGAAGAAGGUCCCAGCAACUAUCCAAGACUGGUGCACCCCCUUGGGGCUGGGAGAGGUCAGGAUGUGGUCAGGAGCAGGCUGUGGUCCCCUUGUUCUACCCCAUUCCUCUGCAAAGAAGCUGGAUGAGGACAUGGUUCUACUUGAAGCUUAAUAUGGACCUUUUGAACUGAAACCAGUGAUGGCCUUGAGCUGUAGUUACAGAUCUGAGCAUCCUUGAGCUCAAAAACCAUCCCCAUCUGGAUCUCAACCUGUCUUACAGUCAUCUUCCCUCAAAACUCAUUUUUAUAACCUGAUGACCAGCAAAUGUAUCAAUCUGUUAUUAAAGAGAAUGUAAUUAUAAAGUCAUGUUUAUCUACACUUCCUUGAGAAAAACUAGGCCUCGUUAUUGCUAUCACAGUCAGAAGAAUAAUUAGUGUCAAGUUUUUAUAGUGAAUUCAUUACCUCCUUGGACAGGGAGCAACUUUAACCAUCUUUUGCAAAAAAGCUUUCAGAAGAAAAAAUAGUGUGUGCUGAGCCAGGGUCUGCUCUGCCUGACAAGAGCAGUCAGCAAGCCAAGUGCAUUGACUGUUGAUUUUCCACACCAUGCACCAUCCAUGAAUGAAGAUGUUCUUUUAAAUUAAGCUUAUUCCAUCAUUUUCAGAUUAAAUCCUCAUAGAAGCAUUGCAUCUCCAUUGCUCUGCAGAAUUAUGUACAACUAAUAUGCUCAGAAGUCAGUUAUUGAGCUUAUUUCCAAGUUCCUGGAAGUUAAUUGUUGUUCCCGGUGAAUAUCUGAGUUUGGUGUCUGUUCUAGGUGUUGACUACAGCCAUUUUUUUUGCAAGACCAAUUUCACAUCUUCCUUCACAUCCCCCAUCGUUCCCUUUGUCUGAGUCAUUGUCUGCAAAUGGUUCCCUCUGGGUUUGAGCCAACUGUUUGAAAGCAAUGGGAAGGGUCCACCAGGGACUGUGACCUCUGGGGUUUACAUCACAUGCUCUGCUGCUCAGUUUUCAUUUCUGCUUUUGGACCUGCACCAACCCAAUCAUCUGCAAAGGCUUUAAAAGCCCAUGAAAGCUUCUUCAGUCUUCAGAGGUGUCAUGUCCUUGCAUGGUGUGUAUGUGCUGGUGGCCCUUGGCCAUGUCAAAGCUUUCAGUAAGUUCAGUAAGGAUGACUCUAUGGUUUUCCACCUGCAAGGAGAUGCAGCCUCAUUUACAGGCUGCCAUUGUGUUUAUGGUCUUUUUUUGAUGACACAUCCAUUGAUGGAGAAAAGGUCUGACCCAGACUGUGGAAAUUUCAGCUAAAGCAAAGAGGAGGGAUUGGAUGUGUCCCAAACCAAAACCUUCUACGAUUUUGCUGUUCUGGCCUUAAUAAAGAAAACUGCAGAGUUACCCUCCUGGGAGAGGGCUUCUUAGCAAGUCACGGUGCUUGUGCAGGUAAAAAAGGUACAAUAUUUAUUAUUUACCCUUCUCUGGAAUCCCCAAAUAACUUCUGUGUAUUUUUUCAGAGCAGUUCCAUGGUACCAUGGGUGCUGGGCUGUGUCUGGGCCUUGAUAACUGGCUUAGUGCUGCUGAGCUGACUCAAAAUAUCCUUAUAUAAAUAAGAAUAUGCAGAAAAAUAUAAGAAUAGAUAUGUUCUUACAUAACUAGGAAAUAUAAAUAUUUCUUCACACUUAUGGAAGGGUCAUAUCAAUAUAAGCAACCCUAAAACCACCCAACAGCAUGACAAAAUUACCUGGUUGCUCAGUUCCCAGCUCUGGACCUGCUUUGAAUACCAUAAUGAAGGCCACAAGCACUUUGGUUUCCUGAUGCCAGAGGCCUCUGGAAAUUGUUGAGAGAUUGUAGUGAUGUGAGAGGAGCUGGGCCAAGCUCAGGCAGAGGAAAGCCCCCACCUCAGGCAGUGCCCACAGCUCCCAGCACUGCUGGGAAUGAAAAAUAUUGGAUAAUCCACCUUUUGUGGAAGGAUCAUCCAUGUUCCUCCAUUUGUGGGCACUGCAGAACCCUGCAGGGAGCUCCUGUAUGUGGCAAGGCACUUCUACACAGAGCAGAAAUGCUAAAAAGCAUAAGGACCUCCCCCCC